CCUACGGGAGGCAGCAGUGAGGAAUAUUGGUCAAUGGGCGAGAGCCUGAACCAGCCAAGUCGCGUGAGGGAGUACUGCCCUAUGGGUUGUAAACCUCUUUUGUCGGGGAGCAAAAGCCGGACGUGUCCGGCUGUGAGAGUACCCGAAGAAAAAGCAUCGGCUAACUCCGUGCCAGCAGCCGCGGUAAUACGGAGGAUGCGAGCGUUAUCCGGAUUUAUUGGGUUUAAAGGGUGCGCAGGCGGAUUUUUAAGUCAGCGGUCAAAUGGUGGGGCUCAACCCCAUCCAGCCGUUGAAACUGGGGAUCUAGAGUGGGCGAUGGGUCUGCGGAUGGCGGGGUGUAGCGGUGAAAGGCAUAG
RNAcentral lists this ribosomal RNA (356 nucleotides) under uncultured bacterium. RNAcentral describes it as "partial 16S ribosomal RNA". It matches the Rfam family "Bacterial small subunit ribosomal RNA", at positions 338 to 693 of the family's 1533-position model. The record is from RNAcentral.